Molecule: ribosomal RNA, 491 nt
Filed under: uncultured bacterium
Lineage: Bacteria
Description: partial 16S ribosomal RNA
Rfam family: Bacterial small subunit ribosomal RNA
Source: RNAcentral
AGUGAACGCUGGCGGUAGGCCUAACACAUGCAAGUCGAACGGCAGCACAGUAAGAGCUUGCUCUUACGGGUGGCGAGUGGCGGACGGGUGAGGAAUACAUCGGAAUCUACUUUUUCGUGGGGGAUAACGUAGGGAAACUUACGCUAAUACCGCAUACGACCUACGGGUGAAAGCAGGGGAUCUUCGACCUUGCGCGAUUGAAUGAGCCGAUGUCGGAUUAGCUAGUUGGCGGGGUAAAGGCCCACCAAGGCGACGAUCCGUAGCUGGUCUGAGAGGAUGAUCAGCCACACUGGAACUGAGACACGGUCCAGACUCCUAUGGGAGGCAGCAGUGGGGAAUAUUGGACAAUGGGCGCAAGCCUGAUCCAGCCAUACCGCGUGGGUGAAGAAGGCCUUCGGGUUGUAAAGCCCUUUUGUUGGGAAAGAAAAGCAGCAGGUUAAUACCCCGCUGUUCUGACGGUACCCAAAGAAUAAGCACCGGCUAACUUCGUG